Molecule: ribosomal RNA, 497 nt
Filed under: uncultured bacterium
Lineage: Bacteria
Description: partial 16S ribosomal RNA
Rfam family: Bacterial small subunit ribosomal RNA
Source: RNAcentral
GAUGAACGCUGGCGGCGUGCCUAAUACAUGCAAGUCGAGCGAACAGACGAUGAGCUUGCUCCUCUGACGUUAGCGGCGGACGGGUGAGUAACACGUGGAUAACCUACCUAUAAGACUGGGAUCACUUCGGGAAACCGGAGCUAAUACCGGAUAAUAUAUUGAACCGCAUGGUUCAAUAGUGAAAGACGGUUUUGCUGUCACUUCUAGAUGGAUCCGCGCCGCAUUAGCUAGUUGGUAAGGUAACGGCUUACCAAGGCAACGAUGCGUAGCCGACCUGAGAGGGUGAUCGGCCACACUGGAACUGAGACACGGUCCAGACUCCUACGGGAGGCAGCAGUAGGGAAUCUGCCGCAAUGGGCGAAAGCCUGACGGAGCAACGGCGCGUGAGUGAUGAAGGUCUUCGGAUCGUAAAACUCUGUUACUAGGUAAGAACAAAUGUGGAAGUAACUAUGCACGUCUUGACGGUACCUAAUCAGAAAGCCACGGCUAACUACGUG